CCCUGUACAAAGUAAUUACACAAAGACAACACUCAUCAAUUUGUCAUUAUAUCUGUUAUAUUAACCUGACAAUGAACACAUACAAACUGUUUCAGUAAGCAAAACUUGUAUCGUCAAACGUAAAUUUGUCAAUAUGUUAAAUUGAAAAUUUCUAAAAUUUACAGAAUAACAGUCACAGCCCCCUAUUACUAAUAUGUCACUCCCUCUUUCAAAAGUAAAUGUUGCAUUUCAAUCAUUUUUCAAGGUGAUUAUUCAUUAUUCAUAUCACAGUUUUUGUUGCACUUUUCUUGUUAAUUAUUUUUCUUUUGCGAUCCCGUCAUAAAGAUCUGUGACAAAUUCUCUUAUCGAACAUCAGUGUUCCUCCAUAAGUU
Molecule: long non-coding RNA, 371 nt
Filed under: Mytilus galloprovincialis (Mediterranean mussel)
Lineage: Eukaryota; Metazoa; Mollusca; Bivalvia; Mytilida; Mytilidae
Source: RNAcentral